Molecule: long non-coding RNA, 357 nt
Filed under: Vitis vinifera (wine grape)
Lineage: Eukaryota; Viridiplantae; Streptophyta; Magnoliopsida; Vitales; Vitaceae
Description: long non-coding RNA (VVIN_LNC002170)
Source: RNAcentral
CAAGACCUGUUUGGCUAGUGAGAAAAUGAGGGAAAAUGAAAGAAAAUAAAGAAUUGUGUUGAGAGAAAGAGUUUCUAGAAAAUUCCAAAAUUCAAAGUGUCAAAAAGGUUGUUUUAAUAAGAGUGUCCAAGUCCUAUUUAUAAGAAGAUUACAUAACUGGAUACUUGGCAUCAUCUAAGAAGUCUUCCAAAAUCUUCUAAAUUCAAAGAAAUCUAGAAAUUUAACAUUUUGCAUGAAAUUUGAACAUUUUGCACGAUUGCAACACUUUCACAUGAGAUAUUCCCAUUUCGCAUGGUCAUGCGAAAUUCUAUGGUGAGUCGUAGUAGCAUGUUUGAAACACUUUCUGGACCAUUUCGC